Molecule: long non-coding RNA, 299 nt
Organism: Haliotis rubra (blacklip abalone)
Lineage: Eukaryota; Metazoa; Mollusca; Gastropoda; Lepetellida; Haliotidae
Exons: 2
Source: RefSeq, a predicted model, not a curated record
CAAGUGACAUAUCAUGCUUACCAGAAAACAAGUGACAUAUCAUGCUUACCACUCAAGAAAUGACAUAUCAUGCUUACCACUCAACAAGUGACAUAUCAUGCAUACCAAUAAGCAAGUGACAUAUCAUGCUCACCACAAAACAAGUGAAAUAUCAUGCUUUACAGAAAACAAGUGACAUAUUAUGCUUACCACACAAAACAUGUGAUUCACGCUUACCGGGAAACGUCAUAUAUCAUACUUACCACGAAGAGGUCACAUAUCAUGCUAACCACAGAACAAGUGACAUAUCAUGCUUUCCA